This 868-nucleotide ribosomal RNA is filed under the name uncultured archaeon. RNAcentral describes it as "bacterial SSU rRNA". It matches the Rfam family "Archaeal small subunit ribosomal RNA", at positions 67 to 922 of the family's 1478-position model. The record is from RNAcentral.
UAUGUCUGGGAGUGGCACACUGCUCAGUAACACGUAGCUAACCUACCCUUAGGACGUGGAUACCCCCGAGAAAUUGGGGUUAAUCCGCGAUAGAUGUAAUGUCCUGGAAUGGUAUUACGUCUAAAGGUAUUUCAUACAUGUUUGAAAUAUGCUAAGGAUGGGGCUGCGGCCGAUCAGGCUGUUGGUGAGGUAAUGGCUCACCAAACCUUUGACCGGUACGGGCCAUGAGAGUGGUAGCCCGGAGAUGGACACUGAGACAAGGGUCCAGGCCCUAAGGGGCGCAGCAACCGCGAAACCUCCAUAAUGCACUCACGUGCGAUGGGGCUAUCUCGAGUGCCACCUGAUGAAGGUGGCUUUUCCUUGGUCUUCAAAGCCUUGGGAAUAAGAGGGGGGCAAGACUGGUGUCAGCCGCCGCGGUAACACCAGCCCCUCGAGUGGUGGGGAUGAUUAUUUGGCCUAAAGCGUCCGUAGCCGGCCGUGAAAGUCUUCCGUUAAAUCCAGCGUCUCAAGCGUUGGACCGCGGGAGAUACUACAUGGCUAGAGAGUGGGAGAGGUCAGCGGUAUUCUGGGGGUAGGGGCGAAAUCCUUUGAUCCCCGGAGGACCACCAGUGGCGAAGGCUGCUGACUAGAACACGUCUGACGGUCAGGGACGAAAGCUGGGGUAGCGAACCGGAUUAGAUACCCGGGUAGUCCCAGCCGUAAACGAUGCAUGCUAGGUGUUGGGUUGGCCACGAGCCACCCCAGUGCCGCAGGGAAGCCGUUAAGCAUGCCGCCUGGGAAGUACGAUCGCAAGAUUGAAACUUAAAGGAAUUGGCGGGGGAGCACCACCAGGCGUGAAGCCUGCGGUUUAAUUGGAUUCAACGCCGGA